RNAcentral lists this ribosomal RNA (1228 nucleotides) under metagenome. RNAcentral's name for it is "SSU rRNA". It matches the Rfam family "Eukaryotic small subunit ribosomal RNA", at positions 506 to 1758 of the family's 1831-position model. The record is from RNAcentral.
UUAUCGGAAUGAGAACAAUUCAAAUCCUUUAACGAGGAUCUAGCGGAGGGCAAGUCUGGUGCCAGCAGCCGCGGUAAUUCCAGCUCCGCAGGUGUAUAUCUAUGCUGCUGCGGUUAAAAAGCUCGUAGUUGGAUCUGCGUGCUCGGAACUGGUUGGCUCACUGAGUUCAAACUGGUCUCCGGCGCUUUAUUGGCUGGUUUUCCCUUGAUGCUCUUAACCGGGUGUCUUGGGUGGCUAGCACGUUUACUUUGAAAAAAUUAGAGUGCUCAAUACAGGCGUAAAGCCUUGAAUAGUGGUGCAUGGAAUAAUAGAAUAGGACCUCGGCUCUAUUUUGUUGGUUUUCGGAACGCGAGGUAAUGAUUAAGAGGGACAGACGGGGGCAUUCGUAUUGCGACGUUAGAGGUGAAAUUCUUGGAUCGUCGCAAGACGGACGACUGCGAAAGCAUUUGCCAAGAAUGUUUUCAUUAAUCAAGAACGAAAGUUAGAGGUUCGAAGGCGAUCAGAUACCGCCCUAGUUCUAACCGUAAACGAUGCCAACUAGCGAUUCGCAGGCGUUAAACAACGACCUUGCGGGCAGCUUCCCGGAAACGAAAGUGUUCGGGUUCCGGGGGAAGUAUGGUUGCAAAGCUGAAACUUAAAGGAAUUGACGGAAGGGCACCACCAGGAGUGGAGCCUGCGGCUUAAUUUGACCCAACACGGGAAAACUCACCCGGCCCGGACACCGUAAGGAUUGACAGAUUGAGAGCUCUUUCUUGAUUCGGUGGGUGGUGGUGCAUGGCCGUUCUUAGUUGGUGGAGCGAUUUGUCUGGUUUAUUCCGAUAACGAACGAGACUCUGGCCUACUAAAUAGUGGGCGGAUUCUUUCUGUCCGCAACACUUCUUAGAGGGACAAGCGGUGUUCAGCCGCACGAGAUUGAGCAAUAACAGGUCUGUGAUGCCCUUAGAUGUCCGGGGCUGCACGCGCGCUACACUGAAGGAAUCAGCGUGCUUUCUGACCUUGCCCGAAAGGGCUGGGUAACCCGAUGAAAAUCCUUCGUGAUUGGGAUAGGGACUUGCAAUUAUUUCCCUUGAACGAGGAAUUCCCAGUAAGUGUGGGUCAUAAGCUCGCGUUGAUUACGUCCCUGCCCUUUGUACACACCGCCCGUCGCUGCCCGGAACUGAGCCGUUUCGAGAAGAACAGGGACCGUCGUUGAAGGGCCUUAACGGGCUUUUCUCUGAUAGAAACUGUU